UGGAGAAAAGCAGGGGAUCGUAAGACCUUGCGCUUUUGGAGCGGCCGAUGUCUGAUUAGCUAGUUGGUGGGGUAAUGGCCUACCAAAGCUUCGAUCAGUAGCUGGUCUGAGAGGACGGCCAGCCACACUGGGACUGAGACACGGCCCAGACUCCUACGGGAGGCAGCAGUGGGGAAUUUUGGACAAUGGGCGCAAGCCUGAUCCAGCCAUGCCGCGUGAGUGAAGAAGGCCUUCGGGUUGUAAAGCUCUUUCAGCCGGGAAGAAAAGGCUACGAUUAAUAAUCGCAGUUCAUGACGGUACCGGAAGAAGAAGCACCGGCUAACUACGUGCCAGCAGCCGCGGUAAUACGUAGGGUGCGAGCGUUAAUCGGAAUUACUGGGCGUAAAGGGUGCGCAGGCGGUUUUGUAAGUCAGAUGUGAAAUCCCCGGGCUUA
Molecule: ribosomal RNA, 433 nt
Filed under: uncultured ammonia-oxidizing beta proteobacterium
Lineage: Bacteria; Pseudomonadati; Pseudomonadota; Betaproteobacteria
Description: bacterial SSU rRNA
Rfam family: Bacterial small subunit ribosomal RNA
Source: RNAcentral